RNAcentral lists this ribosomal RNA (423 nucleotides) under uncultured bacterium. RNAcentral describes it as "bacterial SSU rRNA". It matches the Rfam family "Bacterial small subunit ribosomal RNA", at positions 917 to 1341 of the family's 1533-position model. The record is from RNAcentral.
GGACCCGCACAAGCAGUGGAGCAUGUGGUUUAAUUCGAUGCAACGCGAAGAACCUUACCCAGGCUUGACAUAUAGUGGACCGCUUGGGAAACCAAGCUUCUCGGAUGAGUCGCUAUACAGGUGCUGCAUGGCUGUCGUCAGCUCGUGCCGUGAGGUGUUGGGUUAAGUCCCGCAACGAGCGCAACCCUUAUCAUUAGUUGCCAGCGAGUAAUGUCGGGGACUCUAGUGAGACUGCCUAGGUUAACUAGGAGGAAGGUGAGGAUGACGUCAAGUCCGCAUGGCCCUUAUGCCUGGGGCUACACACGUGCUACAAUGGUCGGUACAGAGGGCUGCAAAACCGUAAAGUCAAGCAAAUCCCAGAAAGCCGGCCCAGUUCGGAUUGUCGUCUGCAACUCGACGACAUGAAGCCGGAAUUGCUAGUAA